RNAcentral lists this long non-coding RNA (3423 nucleotides) under Equus caballus (horse). RNAcentral describes it as "lncRNA (ENSECAG00000047129.1)". The record is from RNAcentral. Lineage: Eukaryota; Metazoa; Chordata; Mammalia; Perissodactyla; Equidae.
CUCAAGCGUGUGGCUGCUUAUUUUAGAGGAAAGCUAUGAGUGAUGAGAAAUUGUUUUCCCAGCUCAACAGAACUUUUUAGUGACCAAAUAACGUAGCUGUUCUUUCAAAAGAGUCACGAAGUUAAUCAGGUGACUCUAGUUCCCCUUCUACCACUCACGUGCUGUGUGAUCUUGGCAAGUCAUUUAACCUGACAGGUCUUCAGCUGCCUCACAUAAAAUGGCAGAACACAGGCUAAGGCUGGAGGUCCAUGCAGGCAGUGGUAAAGUGCAUUUUAUCACAGUGUGUCCAGGAGACAUUUGAUGGAGCAGAACCCAGCUCUCUGCAUCUGAGCCGGAUCUCCUUGCCAGAGCUCUGCAAGAAUGAUUUUUUGUUUCCGCCCCCACGUUGGCAAGAGAGUCUCAGGCAUCUGAAUGCAGCAGGAUAGGACACAUCUUGUAAAGGUCUAACUAUUUAAAAUUUGAGAUUGUCCCAUGGUGCUGAGGGAUGAAUUGCAAUCUUUAUGAAGCUGUGGGCAGCGUGAGUCACUCAGUGAUUGAGCAAGCCACAUCUGCUGCUCAGUCUGUCUGUACUCUGAUCAGCACCUCACUCAGUGCUGCUUUUUCUGGAUCAGCCAGCCAUUGACUGAGCAGAGAGUUACAGAAUCUCACAGUCUGCAAGACCAACUGGCAUGGGAUUAAGAGUAUGGUUUUAAGAUGCCUGCGUUUGAAAUGCUACUGCCAUUCACUAGUGACUUUCUACACCUCUUAGGGCCUCACUUUUCUUCACUGGUAAAGUAGGAGUGAUAUUAGUGGGAACUUGUUAGGGUUAUUAUGAGGAUUCAGUGAGAUAAGUAUUUGAAACUUUCAGCAGAGUGACUAGGACUUAGUGUAUGCUCCUUAAAAGUUAAUUGUUCAUGUCUUUAUCAUUGUUGAGGCCUCAGGGCUAGGUCUUGAGUGAGUAAGUACCAGAGCUGAGUCUGGGAUCUCUUUAGCUGGGCUAGGUCAUUCCUUAUAGAUCUAAGAGGCAAUGAGGUGCCAACUGUUCUUGCCCCAGCCAUUUGGUCUCCUCAUGGAAGUCCCAGACAUCAUGGAGUAGACAAGAGCUGCCCCACUGUGUCCUUUCCAAAUUCCUGACCCACAGAAGCCAUGAGCAUAAUAAAAUGGUUGUCAUUUUAUGCCACUGAAUUUAGAGUAGUUUGUUAUGCAGCAAAGAUAAUUGGAACAAAGAAUCACAAUUUGACCACCAUAGUUUGGAGAUUAUUUAGGCCUAAAGAGGUUAGAUAAUCAUUUUAUUCAAACAAGGACUUAAUGGUAGAAUCAUUCUUAAGCACUGGGUUUCAGGCUUGAAGCUGCAUGCACUAUUCAUUACAUCAUGUACCUUCUUAUCUCUUGAUGUCAGCUCUACAUGUUUGUAUAGUUAAAACUUGACUUCAGGCCUCUGUUCUCAAGUCAUACACAUUCUAAGAAGUACUCUGUUCAUAUAGUAAGCCAUGAGGAAAUGAAUUACUUAUAAGCCUAGCAGAUAGGAGUCUAUUCCAGACUUUAGCUAGUGAGAGAUAUUGGGAGCUCUUAGAGAAGAGACAGAGACAAAGAAAUGGAAAUGGAGAGGAGGUGAGACCGUCUGCUGAGGUUGGAGCUUUGCAGAGGAGGAAGUGGAAGCAGCACAGCAGGAGAAAAUGAUGAGGCACUGGUGGAAAAGAAGGGUGGAAAUUGCUUCAGCUCUAUUGAGGCAAACAACUGUGUGCUGACAAGAAGAAGGUUGACGAGCGGCUUUAGCCAGUCUCUUACUGUCUGCAGCUAAAGGGGAAGAGAGAGGGUGGCUGCAUAUGGAGCAAGGCGCACAGGGAGUCAGCAUGAGAGGAGGGAGAAAGCUGCAGAGGGAGGGGAGCAACUCAGGAAGUCUAUGGAAGCAGCAGGGUGAGCUCUACUGAGCAGAGAGAUGGGGAGCCCAGCAAAGAAGCAGGGGAGCACUUGGCCCUAACUGCCCAAAAAAAAUAGGGUAAAUUGGAGACAGUGGGAGAUGAUGAGGAGAAUAAAAUAAAAGAACAAACAAAAAGUUCAAAGAGAACAUUUGGGAUGAAAGUUAAAGCAGUAUAGAGUAUCUGGAAGAGAUGGAAAAAAAUGGGGAUUAAAACAUAUUUUGGGUGAAAAUAGUGAGUUGAUUCAAUUUUUGAUAAAAGAAAAUAGUUUGGAUGAGAGUUUGAGUGGCAUGAUAUAUUUUGAAUGACCCACUUACAAAGGCCAUAGUGUUUUUCUACAAUAUUCCUGAAAGUGAAGUUUAAUAUGUCAUUUUAUUAUAGGAGAAAUUACACGUAUAUAAAUUUUAAAAAUGGAUCGGCUUGGAAUUGUAUUUUCUUGGAUUACUAGUGGAAAGAAAUAGCAUUAAAGAAUAAAAGCCUAUAAUUGUAAUAGAGCAACAAAAAUUCAAUAAGAGAGUGCUCAUUGUCUAACCAAUGCCUGUAUUUGAGACCAAAGAACACCAGAAACACAAGGGGUAAUUUAUCUAGCUCAUAUGGAAGAUCUUUCCCAUAUCUGGCCUUUAUAUUUUGACUUGUUAGUGUAUUAAAUCUGAAAUAUGAAUGCAGAAGAUGAUGAUGCUUCCUGUGUGCCAGGCACUGUCCUAAGCGUUUUACACAUAUUGACUAAUUUAACCCCUCAACAAUCACUUGGGGUUAGUUAGAUGUCUUUGAUUAUGUCCUUUUUGUGGAUAAAGAUACUGAGGCACAGUUCUCUUUUUUUUUUCUUCCUCAUAGCCACCUCUAUUUCUAAGUCAUUGGGAAAGAUUAGAAAGAAAACAUUAAGUGUGAUAAGUAGUAAAAAGCAGUUGUCUGUAAGGUCCUGGUCAUCCUCGGAACCUUGUCAGCCCCACUCACUGAGGCUCUGCUCAGGAGUAAAUCGCAUGUCUUCAUGUCCCACCCUCCUAAUGUAUUUGUUUAUUAAAGGAAUGAUUGGUAUCAUUAAUGGAAUGUUUUUUAUCUCUGCUUGUGGGAGAGCAGAAUGUUAUAAGGCCACCUAAGGAUGGGGUUUUAUUCUUAGUGGCUGUCUGAUAUAAAGGAAAGAAUAGGAACUCUGGAGUUAGACAGGCCUCUGACUUUGUAUCUUGGCUCUACUUCUUAUCAUUCGUUUGAUUUUGGAUAAUUUAUUUAUCAUUGUUUUAUUCACUUGUAAAAUCGGGAUAAUACCAUCCACUUUGCAGGGUCAUUGUGAAGAUUAAAUGAAAUGAGAGCUGUUCAGUGCCUGGGAAAGUGCUUGAGAAUUAGUAGAGGUUCAAAAUGUGUUACUUCUGGUUUUUUAUAGACCUGAUAAUUGGUGAUUGCAGAUAUUUGAUAUUAAUUAAAUCAAAUGCUGAUAAAGCCUGUGUAGGUGAGGCUGAAAACUUCAUAUUUUCAUAAGCGCUCGGAUUAUAUGUCUUCAUUAUGAAAUCAUCACUGGAUGAAAAGGUAG